RNAcentral lists this ribosomal RNA (253 nucleotides) under uncultured prokaryote. Its description in RNAcentral is "partial 16S ribosomal RNA". It matches the Rfam family "Bacterial small subunit ribosomal RNA", at positions 524 to 776 of the family's 1533-position model. The record is from RNAcentral.
UACGAAGGGGGCUAGCGUUGUUCGGAAUUACUGGGCGUAAAGCGCGCGUAGGCGGGUCGCUAAGUCAGAGGUGAAAUGCCGAGGCUCAACCUCGGAACUGCCUUUGAUACUGGCGACCUGGAGUUCGGGAGAGGUGAGUGGAAUUCCGAGUGUAGAGGUGAAAUUCGUAGAUAUUCGGAGGAACACCAGAAGCGAAGGCGGCUCACUGGCCCGAUACUGACGCUGAGGCGCGAAAGCGUGGGGAGCAAACAGG